AGCUGGAUCCCUAAGCACUGCUCGCCCUCCAUGCCCAUUCUUUCCAUGUCUUUCUUUUCAGCUGGAGGUUUUACACCUUGGAGAUGAUUUUCUAGCCUGAAUCCCACCCUCUUCCUCCUGCAAGGAAGCACCAGGAAUCACUCGGCUUAAUGCACUUGGGAAAGAACACCCCAUCCCGUUUUGUCUUCCUUGGAUACAAACCGGGACAGGUGCAGGGCUGGGGCCGGAGGAUGCGGAGCUGAAGAAAGCCAAGCAAAGGCGUCAGGAGGAUCCGAUUACCCCUCUAAAAAUACCUCUGGUAUUUGGACAAGGUGUAGUUUUAUGAUUAUUUAGAUGUUUUAUUCAUCCUGGUGUGUAUCCCUCCAGCCCAUCCCUAUCUCAAGUGGCUGAUAUUGCCUUCAGAAAGCAGACUCCAAAGGUUGCUCAAGUGCUGGAGGUAAGUCACUUUAAACAUCCAGAUCCUCCUUUUUUCCCCCCUUUAUCCCUGGAAAUGCUUGGGAAAGGAUCAGUCAGCCGGAUGCUCGAAGUAACUGCAUGGCAGAGCCUAAAGGAGCAGCAGGAACCAGCCGUGGACUUAUUAUGCCCUGAAAUGAAACGUUUAAAAGGAGGAAGUUGGCAGCAGGGCUUUUCUAAUCAAAAUCUAUAUAACCUGCCAUUUA
Molecule: long non-coding RNA, 659 nt
Organism: Pezoporus flaviventris
Lineage: Eukaryota; Metazoa; Chordata; Aves; Psittaciformes; Psittacidae
Exons: 2
Source: RefSeq, a predicted model, not a curated record